CAGAUGUCAAAAAUUUUGGAGCUCUUCAGGAAUUCCUUGUUCUGAAUGGGCUUUUCCCCAGGCACCCAGACCACAGACUGCUCAAAAGAGCAGCUGGACUUCACCUGCCUUGGCUCAUGGUGCUCAGGGGAUGCACGGGCAAUGCCCAACAGCCCUCGCCACCCUGCUCUCCUCUCCCUUACUUCAUCACCCCAGACCUUUACCUGCACAGUCCCCACUGUCUGGAAGAGCCUUCUGGAGCCCCCCUGGUCGUUUAAAACACAAGAUUAAAACACCUCUGCUCUA
Taeniopygia guttata (zebra finch) is the source of this 285-nucleotide non-coding RNA. Lineage: Eukaryota; Metazoa; Chordata; Aves; Passeriformes; Estrildidae. The record is from RefSeq and is a predicted model, not a curated record.